This 72-nucleotide transfer RNA is filed under the name Camelus bactrianus (Bactrian camel). It matches the Rfam family "tRNA". From Rfam's summary of the family: Transfer RNA (tRNA) molecules are approximately 80 nucleotides in length. Lineage: Eukaryota; Metazoa; Chordata; Mammalia; Artiodactyla; Camelidae. RNAcentral also lists the same sequence under 2 other names. The record is from Rfam by way of RNAcentral.
GAGGGUAUAGCUCAGUGACAGAGUGUGUGCUUGGCAUGCACAAGGUCCCAGGUUCAAUCCCCAGUGUCUCCA